CUGUUCGCCAUUUAAAGAGGUACGUGAGCUGGGUUUAGAACGUCGUGAGACAGUUCGGUCCCUAUCUGCCGUGGGUGUAGGAGACUUGAGAAGAGUUGCCCCUAGUACGAGAGGACCGGGGUGAACGGACCACUGGUGGACCAGUUAUCGUGCCAACGGUAGUGCUGGGUAGCUAUGUUCGGACAGGAUAACCGCUGAAGGCAUCUAAGCGGGAAGCCCCCUUCAAAACAAGGUCUCCCUUGAGAGCCGUGGAAGACCACCACGUCGAUAGGCCAGAGGUGUAAGAGCAGUAAUGCUUUCAGCUGACUGGUACUAAUUGCUCGAUAGGCUUGAUUUG
This 337-nucleotide ribosomal RNA is filed under the name Cypionkella sp. RNAcentral describes it as "partial 23S ribosomal RNA". It matches the Rfam family "Bacterial large subunit ribosomal RNA", at positions 2577 to 2925 of the family's 2925-position model. The record is from RNAcentral. Lineage: Bacteria; Pseudomonadati; Pseudomonadota; Alphaproteobacteria; Rhodobacterales; Paracoccaceae.